This 110-nucleotide ribosomal RNA is filed under the name Treponema sp. The record is from RNAcentral. Lineage: Bacteria; Pseudomonadati; Spirochaetota; Spirochaetia; Treponematales; Treponemataceae.
GCGGCCAUGGCGGGGGUGCAAUACCCGUUCCCAUCCCGAACACGGAAGUCAAGCCCCCCUGCGCCGAUGAUACUGCCCCNNGNGGGCGGGAAAGCAGGUGGCCGCCGGGC